This is a long non-coding RNA of Saccostrea echinata, 540 nucleotides long. RefSeq lists it as uncharacterized. The transcript is spliced from 2 exons. Lineage: Eukaryota; Metazoa; Mollusca; Bivalvia; Ostreida; Ostreidae. The record is from RefSeq and is a predicted model, not a curated record.
AAGAUUCCCGUAUUUCUACAUUAAUUCUGUAUUUUCACAAGUAAAAUGGAUAUACUAGUUAAAGAAGAUUUAUUAGAAGAGAAAAGAACCUUACAAGAACUGACCCUGUGUAAGGUUUGUCUGGACGCCUAUGUGUCCUGUGUGUUACUACCGUGUGGACACUUUGUAUGUUGUUCUGACUGUGCUCCAGCGAUAAUAACGUGCCCGAUUUGUAGGGGGAAAAUCACUGACUUCCUAUAUGCCAAAGUGGAUUGAGAAGAAGGGUGAAGACUUAAACUUUAACUUCCCCAAGUGAAGUAGAUAUAUGUUAAGUUUACUCUUUUGACUGUAUAGAGAAUUCUGUAUAUUUUUGAAAUAUUGUAAGUUAUGAAUGUUGCGAGAGAGAGAAAAUGGAUAUUUGAUUAAAUAGCAUAAAUGUACAUUAGAAUAAGAGAAUUUUAAAAGCUAUACAAAGCAAUGUUAAAACCAAUUUUAUGUGGAAAAAAAUUUAAUGAUUUGAGAUGUAUGUUUUGUAAUAAAAAAAAAUAACAAGUUUUAAAA